AGCAGUCGCGCGGUAAUACGAAGGGUGCAAGCGUUACUCGGAAUUACUGGGCGUAAAGCGUGCGUAGGUGGUGGUUUAAGUCCGUUGUGAAAGCCCUGGGCUCAACCUGGGAAUUGCAGUGGAUACUGGGUCACUAGAGUGUGGUAGAGGAUAGUGGAAUUUCCGGUGUAGCAGUGAAAUGCGUAGAGAUCGGAAGGAACAUCUGUGGCGAAGGCGACUAUCUGGGCCAACACUGACACUGAGGCACGAAAGCGUGGGGAGCAAACAGGAUUAGAUACCCGGGUAGUCCCUGUCUCUUAUACA
RNAcentral lists this ribosomal RNA (303 nucleotides) under uncultured bacterium. RNAcentral describes it as "partial 16S ribosomal RNA". It matches the Rfam family "Bacterial small subunit ribosomal RNA", at positions 510 to 808 of the family's 1533-position model. The record is from RNAcentral.